CCAAAAAUCUAGCCUAACACAACUAAAAACCCUCUCCCUAAACUAAAAUAUUCUUAAUAAUAAGUAAAGACGAUUGAAAAUUUAAUCUGAGCUGCAAUCCUGUACCGCAAGGGAAAGAAUGAAAUAUAAUAAAAACAAUUUAAGCACAAAAAAGUAGAGACCUCCCUCGUACCUUUUGCAUCAUGGUUUAACUAGUCUACCUUAGCAAAAAGACCUUAAAGCUAAACUCCCCGAAACUAAGUGAGCUAUUUAAAGACAGCUCACUGAGCAAAUUCAUCUCUGUUGCAAAAGAGUGGAAAGAUCCUUAAAUAGAGGCGACACACCUAACGAACUUAGUGAUAGCUGGUUACUCAGGAAAAGAAUUUUAGUUCUACCUAAACAUCCUACAAUAAAAUAAAAUUUAUACUUUACUUUAGAGCAAUUCAAAUAAGGUUCAGCUUAUUUGAUAUAGGACACAACCUCAACUAACGGGUAAUCUUUAUAUUAUUAUAACCCAGUUGGCCUAAUAGCAGCCACCAUUAAAAGCGUCAUAGCUUACUUCUUUCACUUCAACAAUAACUUUAAUUUUACCAAACCCUUCAUCAAUACUGAGUAAUUCUAUAUUUCUAUAGAAGAUUUUCUGUUAAAACUAGUAAUAAGAAAAUAAUUUUCUCCACAUGCAAGCAUAAGUCAGUCUGUACCCAACACUGACAAUUAAUAGACCUAAACCUAAAGUAGCAACCCCACAAGAAAACACUACCCCCCCACUCUAUUAACCUAACACAAGAGCAUCCCAGGAAAGAUUUUAAAAAAAAGAAGGAACUCGGCAAACACUAAUCCCGCCUGUUUACCAAAAACAUCGCCUUUUGACAUCUUCAUAAAAGGUCCAGCCUGCCCAGUGACUUUUGUUCAACGGCCGCGGUAUCCUAACCGUGCAAAGGUAGCGUAAUCACUUGUUUUUUAAAUAAAGACUAGUAUGAAAGGCAUCACGAGGAUAAAGCUGUCUCCUUUUUUUGAUCAGUGAAACUAAUCUUCCCGUGAAGAAGCGGGAAUAUUUAAAUAAGACGAAAAGACCCUAUGGAGCUUUAAACAUUAUAGCAUAUGUUAAAUUAUCCCCACCUCAAGCAUCAUUGACUAUAAGUUUUCGGUUGGGGCGACCACGGAGCAAAACAAACCCUCCAAGUUGAUUAUAUCCCUAAGCCCAGAGCUACAGCUCCAAGCAUUAAUAAAUUAACAUCAAUUGACCCAGUAUUCUGACCAACGAACCAAGUUACCCUAGGGAUAACAGCGCAAUCUACUUCAAGAGCCCUUAUCGACAAGUGGGUUUACGACCUCGAUGUUGGAUCAGGAUGUCCUAGUGGUGUAGCCGCUACUUUAGGU
This 1359-nucleotide ribosomal RNA is filed under the name Bryophryne cophites (Cuzco Andes frog). RNAcentral describes it as "partial 16S ribosomal RNA". It matches the Rfam family "Bacterial large subunit ribosomal RNA", at positions 390 to 2572 of the family's 2925-position model. The record is from RNAcentral. Lineage: Eukaryota; Metazoa; Chordata; Amphibia; Anura; Craugastoridae.